Molecule: long non-coding RNA, 6206 nt
Filed under: Medicago truncatula (barrel medic)
Lineage: Eukaryota; Viridiplantae; Streptophyta; Magnoliopsida; Fabales; Fabaceae
Description: long non-coding RNA (MTRU_LNC004808)
Source: RNAcentral
GUAUCUGAUUUGUAUUGUGAAUACCACUAAUUGUAUAUCAAGUGUUCAACCUCAAACAUAUUUAUUUGCAAUUCUAUUUGAAUAGAAGUCUCUUGCUUUUGUGCUUGAGUAUAGAAAGUCUCUUGAUUUAGUUCUUGAGCAUAGGAAAUCUCUUUCAGUCUUGAGUAGUUUGAAGUCUCUUGGUAGUUUUAGCAGUGAGCAAUUGUAAUCAAAUAUUACAUUUUUAGUGGACUCUCCUUGGAAGUGCAAGAGGAAUAUGACUACUUCCGGUUUGUGGAAGGAACCUCUAUAAUUGCUUUGUGUCUUUCUUCUCUCUCUCUCUCUCUCUCUCUCUCUCUCUCUCUCUCUAUCUUUUUAUCCGCUGCAUUUAGAAUCUGAACAUCACUUCAAAAGCUGAAUUCUAUCUGCUUCUGAUCAGUGACUUCAGUAGGAAAAAACUAACACAAUUCAACCCCUCCACUACUCUCUUUGUGUCUACAUCAGGACAAGAAUAACAGCUAUGCCUGCAACGAUGUUCCUCCAUACUUGGAAUGGAUUUGAAAUUGAUCCUUCAUAGUAUAAUAACCAAAUCGGGAAAAAGAUCAUUGGUGAUUUGAUCAAGCUUCAAACGACUCUUUUUGAUGUGUUGGGAAUUCACAACGUCUCUUUCACACCUCUAUAUAAAGGAGUGAAGACUUAGAGAAUGACAAGACUCAUACAACAAUUUACAAGUGUCAAAACUCUGUCAAAAUUGUUCUGCAUCAAAAGUUCACUUAGAAUUUCUUAACAACUUUCAUAUCUUAGAAAUUCUAUAGUCUUAAGAGUCUGUAUCUGAUUUGUAUUGUGAAUACCACUAAUUGUAUAUCAAGUGUUCAACCUCAAACAUAUUUAUUUGCAAUUCUAUUUGAAUAGAAGUCUCUUGCUUUUGUGCUUGAGUAUAGAAAGUCUCUUGAUUUAGUUCUUGAGCAUAGGAAAUCUCUUGCAGUCUUGAGUAGUUUGAAGUCUCUUGGUAGUUUUAGCAGUGAGCAAUUGUAAUCAAAUAUUACAUUUUUAGUGGACUCUCCUUGGAAGUGCAAGAGGAAUAUGACUACUUCCGGUUUGUGGAAGGAACCUCUAUAAUUGCUUUGUGUCUUUCUUCUCUCUCUCUCUCUCUCUCUCUCUCUCUCUCUCUCUCUAUCUAUCUAUCUUUUUAUCCGCUGCAUUUAGAAUCUGAACAUCACUUCAAAAGCUGAAUUCUAUCUGCUUCUGAUCAGUGACUUCAGUAGGAAAAAACUAACACAAUUCAACCCCCCCCCCCCCCCCCUCCGGGUGUGUUUUUCUCACCUUCAUAAUAAACAAACAAAAAUAUCUUCAAAUCUUUAUUAAGAUCUCAAAAAAAAUCUCUAGAUUCUCUGCAUAUAAAAUCUGCUGUUUUUUUAAAAGUUAAAGCAAACACAUCCUAAAUCUAAAAUAACUGUUGCACAUGGGAAUCAUUUUUUCAAGACAGCGCUCUGCCCCAGCAAAGCGUUCUCUCCAAACAAAAGAUGAUCAACUUUUUUGAAAUCAUACGUGAAAUAUAGAAUUAUAAUGAAGAAUUCAUCUAUAUGAUCGUAAAGUGUCUUUAUUUAUUAUAGUAGGUAAUUAUGAUUACACUAUUGUUUUCCAUUUCUUCUAUGAGUUCAUGAUGACAACAUAGUUGCAUAAUAUAACAAUACAUAUGUUUUUUUCAUUGAAAUUGACAACUUAAUCUAUAUCGUACUCAGAAGUGCAUUGACAAGUUAAAUUAAUGCACUUCAGAGUUAGAUCAGUUGGACACAUAUCUGGUGGACAUUCAGGGGUAAAUAGGCAUGGAGGAGCAUCUGGGAGGCCUAACAAGAACAAAAUAAAUGUUAAUAUAGAUGAUGGAAUAUUAUAUAUAAGUUAAAUUAUAAUUUUGAAAAUGAUUUAAAACAUUACUCACUUCCAUUGAUUGCGAUCAUAAAUAGGGAAACAAAGAUGAGUAAAGUAUAAAAGAAAUAAAGGAUUCGAGCCAUAAUUUUUGCGCUUUUGCAUGUAAUAAAUGAAAAAUAUUUUGAUCUUUAUAAACAAAAUGUAAUGCUUUGUAAACUUCAAUGAAAUAGUUUUUAACCCCUAGGAGGUGCAAGAAGCCAUUCAAAAAAUUGAAAUAAUUGGUAAAUGUUUCUAUAUUACAUCAAUCUGUCUUGUUUAUCUCUUUACAAGUUCAACUGAUCACUUAGUUUUAGUAAAAUAUUAUUUAAAAAUUUUAAUAAUCAUCAAAGAUCAUUCAUAUUUUUUUUAUUAAACUUCUAAUUUAUUUUUUAUUUCUCUUUUACCUUUUUAUGGUAAAGAAGAGACACAUAAAAAUAUUUGGGUAGAAAUUUAAACAUUAUUGACGAAUGAUGAAAAACUCUUUGGGUAGAAAUCAUUCACCGAUCAGGUGACAAUACUUACUUAUUCCUGAGAAACUAAAAUAACCAUAUUAUAAUGUUAUUUUAUUGACAAUUUUCCAUACUUGUAACACAUGUUAGAAAUAAGACCACACUCGAUUGGUACGUUAGUUAGAAAUAUAUUCUAUGUUAAGGGAUAUUGUAUAUUAUAUUUUUGGGGCCGGAGUUUAAACCCAUACAUUUUAUUUUUUCACAAUUAAAUUGUGUGAGCUCUAACCAUUAAGUUAUUUAAUAAAAAAAGACUACUUGACAAAAAAAAAUUAUAAACAGGAUUUUAUCAGCCAAUUUUGCUAAUAAAAAAUUGGCUCGCUCUAAGGAAAUUCACAAUUAUCAAAGCGGCUAAUGAUUAAACUAGGUGAGAUUGAUGGAACCCAUGCGUCGUUUUCAUGUUAAAAAGUAUCUUUAGGGUAUCAUUUAAGCAUCCAAAAGUAGUAGUUUUUAUAUUGGAAAUUAUGUAGCAUGACUUUUAUGUUUAUUUGAUUUAUUUUUAAGACAAAUUUUUUUUGUAGAUUCCUUAAGCAAUACCCUCAAAAUAUUUGUUAGCGAGACCUUUCAAAUUGAAGUAAAAAUAACAGUGACAAAAGAGGGUUAUAAUUGUGACUAUUUAAAAAUUGGAUCUUUCACUUUGUAAAAAAAAUUUCUCAAUUUAAAACAAUACACUUAACUGUAUGUGUAGUUUGAUUUGCAUGUACCGAGAGUAAAGAGUAUAGUUGCAGAGUUAACACACAAGAACUAUCAUGGUUAUUUAGUUGAAGAGUAUAGUCCUCACAACCGUGAGAUUUCACUAUUGUAUUUAGAUAACCUUUUCCAAUCUUCCCUCACACCUUAUAUCACUCUUUUUCUUACACCUUAGUUUAUCAUAGCCUUUUCAGACUACUAACACUACUAUCACUUAAUCCUUUUUUACAACCUAAAUAAGAUUAAAGGCGUUUUAAAAAAAAAAAAAAACUGAUAGGAGUUUGACUAUGAUCUCAAUUAGUGUAUUUUGUGUAUGAUUCUAAAUUACACUUUGAAUGAUGUUAAAACAUCUAUACUAUACGAGCGAAAAGAUAGAAACUUCCAAAUAAUUGGAUCUCUCUCCAAUCUUCUCUUCUUGCAUCCUAAAGUUCUUCUCUUCUAGCUCAUCUCUUCUCUCAGAUAUUCCUUAUUAGUUGUAAACCUAAUUCUCCAAAGACUACAAUCUAUUUAUAUUUUCUUGUUUGGCCUUGGUUCUCUCACAUCAUUUAAUGGACUAAGUUUCUAUCAUAUUUAUUUUCGACAAAUAAAACUUUACUCGGUAAUUCGACUUAAACCUCCUAUUUACCCAUACACCUCUAUUCUCUAAAUUUCUAGUAAUUAACUAACCCAUAAAUUCAACCACGUUAAAUAAAAGUAAUAAACACAUAAAUUUCUAAAUACUACUAAUAUUACUAAUAUCACAUAAAAAUUAUAACAUUAAUAAACUAGUAAUAAAAAUUGGGAUGUUACACAUUUAGAGCAAUAAUUUCCUUGUGCUCAAAACUUUUUAGGGCUGGCCUUUUGCAGUGAGAUUCAACAUUAAGAUUCGCCAAUUGCACAUGCUUAAGAAUAGGGAUCGAAUCCCCGUUAGUAUUUUCCCCAAUCAUCUCAUCUGUUGCAUUAACCAAAGGCAUAUGCAAUGAAGUUCUUACCACGGUGAGGUCAACUUGCUUUGCGACUUCACUCCCUUUCUACACGGUUUCAUCCACAUUAAUCAAUCGAUGCUCAAUGUGAUCAACUGGUUUCAACGUGUUGGUUGUGUCCAAGUUGACCCUUUUCUUUAGUACAUAUUGCUAUAAAAGUUUCUUUGAUGCUGGUAAUCUUUAUCCAAAGGUUUCUUUCUGAGAACAAUUGUCUUAUGGGGAUGGAUCCAUUUAAAAGUUGAAACGGAAUGACCUAUGAUAAAUCGUAUCCAUAUCCAUUAAAAUUCUUGCAUAGUGAUCGAAAAGUUUGUUAUGUGUUGGAUCGUCUAGAUUUAAUGGUGUUGCAAUGACACUGGCAAUUUUAAAGUGUGUCUGAUCAUGCCAAUAUUCCUGUGGCAAAUCAAUUAAAUGGAUCCAAACUUAUGCAUGAGUUUGACGUUGAGUAAUAUGAUUAAAGUCCUUCUGCCAUUCAGAUAUUUGAAGGACAGCCAAACAUAAAUCUCUGUAGUUUGAAAACUUGAAAUUACAAAACCCACGUUUGAGAUAAAUUAUUUUUCACCUGUAGUAUUCCACAACUUGGAAAGCUUAAGCUUCAGUCAUUCGCACAGGGGCGGAUCUAGAUAUGAUGGUUUGAUGUGGCAAAAUUAUAAAAGAAUUUUUUUAGUGUACAUUUGAUUUAUAAUAUAAUAGCAAAGUAGCUAAAGCAAGUUUGUUACAUAUCUAUGUCUCAGGUUCAAAUCUCAUCCACCACACUUUUGAUGAUUUUCUCCUUAAAAUAUUAAAAAAAAGUUUAAAUAGAUCACACAUUAAUUUGUGAAACAUUGUCAAAUUAUGUGAUAUAUAUUAUGUUUUCGGUCUACUAUAUUAACUAAAAAAAUUUGGCUGUAAUCUGGUGUGGCAGCUGCCACACCAUGCCUAACACUAGAUCCGCCCAUGUUCGCGCUAUACAUCUUAUCUCCUUUGUUUAGAACCAAUCGACCAUGAAUUCUCAUAUGCAUAAUGGGUAAUCUUGAUACAUAAAGAAUCUAAAGUAUUAAUCUGAUUUUGAGAAUCCAUAUUGCUCAGCCAAUUGAAAAAUUGAUACACACGAAAAGCAAAACGAAAUUGUUCACCCAAAACGAUCAAAGAAAGAUCACGUAACCAAGUAACAAACAUCAAUCAUUAUUGUAACAAAACAAUGGAUUCCCCAAUUUCAGUAGACUAAAGCCUGUUUGUUUCAGAUAUUUUUUUCUAAAAAAAACACUUUUGUUAUUUUUAAGUGUUUGUUUAAGAUUUUAAAAAAAUAAUCUAUUUUGACUCUAAAAUGAAAGGCUAUUAGGAUUAAUUUUUCACAAAUAUUUUUUCUUCAAAAACAAAGAGGUAACAUGUGCAAGUAAAAUGAAGAAUUCAUCUGCAUAGUCAUAUAGUGUCUUUAUUUAUUAUAGUAGGUAAUUAUGAUUAAACCAUAAUAUUAUUGUUAUGCAUUUCUUCUGAGUUCAUGAUGGCAAUAUAGUUGCAUAAUAUAACAAUACAUAUGAUCUUUUCAUUGAAAUUGACAACUUAAUCUAAAUCGUACUCAGCAGUGCAUUGACAAGUUAAAUUAAUGCACUUCGCAAAUAGAUCAGUUGGACACAGAUCUGGUGGACAUUCAUUGCUAAAAAGGCAUGGAAGAACAUCAGGGAUGCCUAAUAAGAAUAAAAUAAAUGUUAGUACAUAUGAUGUAAUAUUAUAUAAAAAUUAAAGGGCUAAAUAAAUUUUUACAUGCAUGUUGUUGUUUGAAGAAGUUAAAACGAAUUUAGAUUAAUCAAAAGAUCAACACUUCCAGCACGAGGUGUGUGCUUGGAAGAAAUGGUUAAAUCAAAAGAUAACAAGGUCAACUUAAGAACAUUAUAAGAAACUUCAAAAAUGUUGAACGAACUUUAUUUUUAGUCCUCAUAAAAAAAAUUGACAUAUUUUUAACACAUAAUAAACUAAAUAUUAAUUUUUCUAAACAUCAAAUUUUGACCUAGAAUUCAAAUUUUGAACUAAUAUUUCUCAGAGGAACUUUGUAUUAUUAUGUUCUAAAUAAAUAUGUCAAGAAUUAUUUAAAUGUUUAAAAAUUUAAGUAUAAUUAAUCAAAUUUUAAUUUUACAAGGACUAAAAUUUUAUGUUCUAAAUUUUUUUAUUAAGACCAAAACAUGUC